GACGAACGCUGGCGGCGUGCUUAACACAUGCAAGUCGAACGGAAAGGCCCUGCUUUUGUGGGGUGCUCGAGUGGCGAACGGGUGAGUAACACGUGAGUAACCUGCCCUUGACUUUGGGAUAACUUCAGGAAACUGGGGCUAAUACCGGAUAGGAGCUCCUGCUGCAUGGUGGGGGUUGGAAAGUUUCGGCGGUUGGGGAUGGACUCGCGGCUUAUCAGCUUGUUGGUGGGGUAGUGGCUUACCAAGGCUUUGACGGGUAGCCGGCCUGAGAGGGUGACCGGCCACAUGGGGACUGAGAUACGGCCCAGACUCCUACGGGAGGCAGCAGUGGGGAAUAUUGCACAAUGGGCGGAAGCCUGAUGCAGCAACGCCGCGUGCGGGAUGACGGCCUUCGGGUUGUAAACCGCUUUCGCCUGUGACGAAGCGGGAGUGACGGUAAUGGGUAAAGAAGCACCGGCUAACUACGUG
Molecule: ribosomal RNA, 468 nt
Filed under: uncultured bacterium
Lineage: Bacteria
Description: partial 16S ribosomal RNA
Rfam family: Bacterial small subunit ribosomal RNA
Source: RNAcentral